RNAcentral lists this non-coding RNA (21 nucleotides) under Caenorhabditis elegans. The record is from RNAcentral. Lineage: Eukaryota; Metazoa; Nematoda; Chromadorea; Rhabditida; Rhabditidae.
UCUUGAGGCACCUUUGUUGAA